GAAGUAGUUCUGAGCUAAAUAUAGUUACAUAUUAGUUGUUAGAUUUGGUGUGGCAGAACCUUACCAAAAAUUAUAUUUAGGGGUGAUAGGCCUCUCAAAAACUAAGAUAUCUUGACCCCAAUGAAAUGUAUUUAGUACAGUUAAUACAUUUAUUAAGUGUUUAGGUUUAAUAACAAUAUAAAUUUAUAUACUAUGUAUUAUUACGUUUUAAUAAAUAAAUACUCACAAAACAUAAUAUACUUCUAUAAGGGUUAUAGUUAAUAGUUGGAUACAAUAUAAUUAACUAUAUUGUGAAUAAUGUUAGUAUUAGUAUUAUAUAUAAGUUUUUGUAAGGAACUCGGCAAAAGUGUUUCUCAACUGUUUAUCAAAAACAUAACUAUGUGUACUUAUUCAUAGCGGUAUCUGCUCAAUGAAUUAUUAAAUAGCCGCAGUAUUCUGACUGUGCAAAGGUAGCAUAAUCAAUUGACUUGUAAUUGAAGUCUGGAAUGAAGGAAAGUAUGGGGAGCCACUGUCUUAUAAAAAUUAUGGAGAACUUAUUUAGGAAGUGAAAAUCCUUCUCUAUACAUAAGGGACGAGAAGACCCUAGAAAUUUUAAUACUAUUAGAUAUAUAUAUCUUUAAUAAUUUUCGCUGGGGCGGCGGAGUAACAUUAAACUUACUUAUAUAAACAUGCGCCUUGUUUGGCAACUGAUAAAAUUACUCUAGGGAUAACAGCAUAAUAUUAAAAAGUUUGUGACCUCGAUGUUGGACUAGGACAUAAUAACCUAAAAGGUUUUUUAUAAUGCUCUGUUCGAGCAUAGACUCCUACAUGAUC
RNAcentral lists this ribosomal RNA (813 nucleotides) under Euhadra quaesita. RNAcentral's name for it is "partial 16S ribosomal RNA". Lineage: Eukaryota; Metazoa; Mollusca; Gastropoda; Stylommatophora; Camaenidae. The record is from RNAcentral.